This 1195-nucleotide long non-coding RNA is filed under the name Gouania willdenowi (blunt-snouted clingfish). RNAcentral's name for it is "lncRNA (ENSGWIG00000022745.1)". The record is from RNAcentral. Lineage: Eukaryota; Metazoa; Chordata; Actinopteri; Blenniiformes; Gobiesocidae.
UACACCAGUUCUUUGUUUUUAUCAUCAGAACGUCUUCAUUCAUCAUCUCUGUUCUGAGUUAUUUCUGGGUUUGUUGCUGAUGUCAGCACUAAUCUACUCUAAUCUAAUCUAAUCUAAUCUAAUCUGGGGAUUACUGCUGGAGACCAGGACCUAAGGCUAUCAAAGUUGAGCUAGCCUGAAUCAAAAACAAAUCGCUUAUCAUCUUUGGUUCCCAAAACCAGCCGUUCAAGGCUAUCACAUCUACCACCUGGAUGUAUCACCCAAAGUUACUGUCAGAUUGGAAAAUGGCUUUGUAUCAACCAAGUGCCCCAACUGUCAGAAAGAACUGCAAUCAGAGGAGGCCCUGAAGUUUCACAUGGCGCAAAAAACCAAAAGGACAGUCAACCAAUUUCUCUUCAGAGGAGCAGUGCUGGAAAGCCAGAAAUAAAGCCCCCUGCUCCCCAAACUGCUGUUGGCCCACCUCCAAUCGUCUUGCCAUUGAAUAUUGCUGGCAAUGCAGUGCAUUCAGCAUCACCGACACUGACAACAGUCAGUCCUCGGCCUGUUAUUGUUAAUAAUCAGGGCUUUAUCGUCACCUCUCCACAAAUAGUAAACAACAGGGACUUCAUUGCAUCUUUUGGAACACAGUACCCUCCAGGGACAUAAUUUACAAUUGUUCCAGCUGGACAGCAGCAGAUUUUUCAACAGGUCCCCAUCGUACCGAGUGCAGUCCACAGACCUCAGGUGCAACAAAUCAGCAACAACAUAGUGACGUUGUCAAACGUUCAAAUUCCUACGGUGUACACCGCAACGGCUAAUCAGCUUCAGUUUAGCAAGCCUAAUCACCACACACUCCAGACCUUUUCUGCACCCGUGGUCCACAACAUUAACAAAGAUGAAACCGUAGCCAAACGAGGAUUGACAUCAAAUGAAAGUGACUUUGAAGCGAAGAAACUAAAGCUUAACAUGUUAUCACCCAAAGUUACUGUCAGAUUGGAAAAUGGCUUUGUAUCAACCAAGUGCCCCAACUGUCAGAAAGAACUGCAAUCAGAGGAGGCCCUGAAGUUUCACAUGGCGGUGAGUAAAGUACCUGAUGAGCAAGAGCUCAUACACACUACAGAACUCACUCACACGUGCUGUCCCUUAAAGGAGAAGAAAACACUUUGUGGCACAUAUUGUGCAGCUGUUUGUUAAUAAAUGUGUCUGGCAUUUUGCA